CAGUCGCCACGGGAAUACGAAGGGGGCUAGCGUUGUUCGGAAUUACUGGGCGUAAAGCGCACGUAGGCGGAUAUUUAAGUCAGGGGUGAAAUCCCAGAGCUCAACUCUGGAACUGCCUUUGAUACUGGGUAUCUUGAGUAUGGAAGAGGUGAGUGGAAUUCCGAGUGUAGAGGUGAAAUUCGUAGAUAUUCGGAGGAACACCAGUGGCGAAGGCGGCUCACUGGUCCAUUACUGACGCUGAGGUGCGAAAGCGUGGGGAGCAAACAGGAUUAGAUACCCGGGUAGUCCCUGUCUCUUAUAC
This 301-nucleotide ribosomal RNA is filed under the name uncultured bacterium. Its description in RNAcentral is "partial 16S ribosomal RNA". It matches the Rfam family "Bacterial small subunit ribosomal RNA", at positions 509 to 807 of the family's 1533-position model. The record is from RNAcentral.